UACGAAGGGGGCUAGCGUUGUUCGGAAUCACUGGGCGUAAAGGGCGCGUAGGCGGCUAGACGAGUCGAGGGUGAAAGCCUGUGGCUUAACCACAGAAUUGCCUUCGAUACUGUUUGGCUUGAGACCGGAAGAGGUAAGUGGAAUUGCGAGUGUAGAGGUGAAAUUCGUAGAUAUUCGCAAGAACACCAGUGGCGAAGGCGGCUUACUGGUCCGGUUCUGACGCUGAGGCGCGAAAGCGUGGGGAGCAAACAGG
This 253-nucleotide ribosomal RNA is filed under the name uncultured bacterium. RNAcentral describes it as "partial 16S ribosomal RNA". It matches the Rfam family "Bacterial small subunit ribosomal RNA", at positions 524 to 776 of the family's 1533-position model. The record is from RNAcentral.